UUUCAAAGCUGCUGUGCGAAACUUGCAUUGAGCACUCUGUGGGUUUUGCAUUGUGAGAAAUAAUGAACAGUUGAACAGUUUACCAUACAUCUGUGAUAAAGAGUAAAUUAUUGUCCUUCAUCUAAGCAAUUUUAGCUAGCUGGUUUUUCAUCAGGAUCACACAGAACAGCACACACUGGUAAAAUCUAUGAGAACUUUUAUCAGUGAGAAAAUCACAGUAUUCUGAAGGGGAAAGGGAGAAUGAUGGCACCUUCUGUGGUUUUUUUUUUUUUUUUCAUAUUUACUUAGGAAGACUUGAUUUUAACCAUUUGUACAAGUAGAUUUUAAAGUAUCAAGCCCUGGAAAUCACAUUUUUAAAGGAUAUUCUGUUAAUACAAGGUAGCUUGGUGAUAUAAAGCACUACAACACAGAAAGGUUGCAGGAAGAAAUACAGGUGGAACAAGCCACAAAGAUGACUUCCAUAAGAAUUCUGGCUCAUUCAGAAUUUCAGCUGGAGAAUAACUGGCAACUGUAACCUUCUUCAGCACUAGGGAGCUUAUCUUUCUUUCUUCUCUGGAGAAGAAAUAAGAAGACUUAGCCAAAAUGAAAAAGACUUGGUCACACUGGUUAACUGAUUCUAGAUUUUUUUUCAGGUCUUCUCAGUCAUGAUCAUUUAUUGUUGGCAGGGUUUUUUUUGUUUAUUAUUUUUGUAGCAUUUCAAAUAUAUUGAUAUCCCCAGCUAAAAUUCCCAAGAAGUAUUUUGUCUUCUUUAUGUCUUACUUUACCA
This 766-nucleotide long non-coding RNA is filed under the name Numida meleagris (helmeted guineafowl). Its description in RNAcentral is "lncRNA (ENSNMEG00000005758.1)". The record is from RNAcentral. Lineage: Eukaryota; Metazoa; Chordata; Aves; Galliformes; Numididae.